This 958-nucleotide ribosomal RNA is filed under the name Reduvius personatus. Its description in RNAcentral is "SSU rRNA". It matches the Rfam family "Eukaryotic small subunit ribosomal RNA", at positions 425 to 1293 of the family's 1831-position model. The record is from RNAcentral. Lineage: Eukaryota; Metazoa; Arthropoda; Insecta; Hemiptera; Reduviidae.
GCAGCAGGCACGCAAAUUACCCACUCCCGGCACGGGGAGGUAGUGACAAAAAAUAACGAUACGGGACUCUAUUGAGGCCCCGUAAUCGGAAUGAGUACACUUUAAAUCCUUUAACAAGGAUCCAUUGGAGGGCAAGUCUGGUGCCAGCAGCCGCGGUAAUUCCAGCUCCAAUAGCGUAUAUUAAAGUUGUUGCGGUUAAAAAGCUCGUAGUUGGUUCUGCGUGCCGCGCUGUCGGUUUGCCGCCUGUCGGUGUAACUGGCAUGUCGCGGCAUGUCCUGUCGGUGGUGAACGGGACCAGAGGCGUUUUGCGUAGGCUUUAAUUGCCGAAACAUGCGUCGUAUGUGUUACCGUUUACCGAUCUCUCCUACUCCGGUGCUCUUAAUUGAGUGUCGAGGUAGGCCGACACGUUCACUUUGAACAAAUUAGAGUGCUUAAAGCAGGCUGAAAUAUCUGCCUGAAUAGUGGUGCAUGGAAUGAUAAAACAGGACCUCAGUUCUAUUUUGUUGGUUUUAGGAAUAUGAGGUAAUGAUCAAUGUGGACUGGCGGGGGCAUUCGUAUUGCGACGUUAGAAGUGAAAUUCUUGGAUCGUCGCAAGACGCACUAGAGCGAAAGCAUUUGCCAAGUAUGUCUUAAUUGAUCAAGAACGAAAGUUAGAGGUUCGAAGGCGAUCAGAUACCGCCCUAGUUCUAACCAUAAACGAUGCCAGCCAGCGAUCCGCCGAUGUUCCUUUAAUGACUCGGCGGGAAGCUUCUACUCGGGAAACCAAAGCUUUUGGGUUCCGGGGGAAGUAUGGUUGCAAAGCUGAAACUUAAAGGAAUUGACGGAAGGGCACCACCAGGAGUGGAGCCUGCGGCUUAAUUUGACUCAACACGGGAAACCUCACCAGGCCAGGACAUUGGAAGGAUUGACAGAUUGAUAGCUCUUUCUUGAUUCAGUGGGUAGUGGUGCAUGGCCGUUC